Molecule: non-coding RNA, 293 nt
Organism: Sus scrofa (pig)
Lineage: Eukaryota; Metazoa; Chordata; Mammalia; Artiodactyla; Suidae
Source: Rfam
AUGAAGGGCAAUAUGGCUGCCAGAUCUAUCACCCAUUAAUUCUCCAGUGUCGAUUUUGCUGUCUAACUUGCUAGGUGGGGGUCCCUUUUUUUCCCCUUCAACUGUUGAUCUGUAUCUGUUGCAAGGCUCAAUCAAAAAGAAUGACCUUCUAAUAUAGAGAUGAAUCAUCCUCAGUCAAGGGAACUGAAGUUGUUAAAUUCCCUGGGUACAAUUACAAAACUAGCUGCUUUGAGGGUAGGGAGGUUGUAAACCAUUUCCUUUAAUUUGCUAAGCCCUUCUAUUUAUUUUACAAU